This 213-nucleotide RNase P RNA is filed under the name Chloroflexota bacterium. Its description in RNAcentral is "Chloroflexi bacterium partial RNase P RNA component class A". It matches the Rfam family "Bacterial RNase P class A", at positions 157 to 367 of the family's 367-position model. Rfam says of the family: Ribonuclease P (RNase P) is a ubiquitous endoribonuclease, found in archaea, bacteria and eukarya as well as chloroplasts and mitochondria. Its best characterised activity is the generation of mature 5'-ends of tRNAs by cleaving the 5'-leader elements of precursor-tRNAs. Lineage: Bacteria; Bacillati; Chloroflexota. The record is from RNAcentral.
AAAUGGUGAGGCAAGAGCUCACCGGCGGCCGGGUGACCGGCCGGCCAGGCAAACCCCGCCCGGAGCAAGACCAAAUAGGAGGGCGUUUUAAAGGCUGCUCGUCCAGCCCUCGGGUUAGCGGUCGCUCGAGGCGCCGGGAAACCGGCGUCCUAGACAGAUGAUCGCCGGAGGUGAAAGCCUCUACAGGACCCGGCUUAUAGUCCGCUCUCGACC